This 512-nucleotide ribosomal RNA is filed under the name Halorubrum sp. AJ68. Its description in RNAcentral is "bacterial SSU rRNA". It matches the Rfam family "Archaeal small subunit ribosomal RNA", at positions 324 to 834 of the family's 1478-position model. Lineage: Archaea; Methanobacteriati; Methanobacteriota; Halobacteria; Halobacteriales; Haloferacaceae. The record is from RNAcentral.
UACGGGGUGCAGCAGGCGCGAAACCUUUACACUGCACGACAGUGCGAUAGGGGGAUCCCAAGUGCACAGGCAUAAGCGCCUGUGCUUUUCGGUACCCUAAGGCGGUACCAGAAUAAGGGCUGGGCAAGACCGGUGCCAGCCGCCGCGGUAAUACCGGCAGCCCAAGUGAUGGCCGAUCUUAUUGGGCCUAAAGCGUCCGUAGCUGGCCACGCAAGUCCAUCGGGAAAUCCACCUGCCCAACAGGUGGACGCCCGGUAGAAACUGCGUGGCUUGGGACCGGAAGGCGCGACGGGUACGUCCGGGGUAGGAGUGAAAUCCCGUAAUCCUGGACGGACCGCCGAUGGCGAAAGCACGUCGCGAGAACGGAUCCGACAGUGAGGGACGAAAGCCAGGGUCUCGAACCGGAUUAGAUACCCGGGUAGUCCUGGCCGUAAACAAUGUCUGCUAGGUGUGGCUCCCACUACGAGUGGGUGCUGUGCCGCAGGGAAGCCGCUAAGCAGACCGCCUGGGAA